CGAACGUGGUCUUCAGCUCUGCAGAGCUGACAUGGUUAACUUAGAAAUUCACGUGUGAUGUCCAAGCUUGGAUGCUUGCUUUGGAAAUAUGGCAUAUUUGUGGGCUCUUGGCAUCUAUGAUUUUUCUUCCAAAGCUCCUUGGUGACCAAAUUCAUGGCUUCCUCUCCUUGAGUCAAUUUCUAAACAAGGUCCAGGCUCUCAGACCCCUGCUAGGAUGAAUCAUAGAAAGAUCAAUAUGGUAUAAAAAAUUCCUGACUAAUCUCACGGACACACACACAGAACAGUUCACCAGCCAGCACAGUUGUUACACAUGUCCUGGCUGCUUCCUGAAGAUGGAAGCAGAGGUUGGAGUGAUGUGGCCUCAAGCCAAUGCAUGCUGGCAGCCACCAGAAGCUGGAAGAGACAAGGAACGGAUUUUGCCCUAGAGUUUCUGGAGGAGGUGUGGACCUGCCUACCACCUGGAUCUCAGAUUUCUAGUCUCUAGAACUGCAAGAGAAUGAAGUUCUGCAGUAGCCCUAGGCAACUAGUACAUGCACAAACCAACAGGUACAGCUCAGUGGAUUAUCAGAAAAGCGAAUACUUAUGACCACCGUCUAAUCAAGAAAGAUUACCAAUACCCUAUAGGCCCCCUCAUUCUUGUCCUGACCACAACCUUCUCCAUCCUCCCUACAUGUAAGCACUAUCCUGAUUUCUAUAAUCAUAGUUCAUCUAUAGCUGCUUUGAACUUUGAAUAAAUAAUAAUUCAGACUGCAGUUUCUUUGCAUGGCUUUCCCCUCUCAGUAUUAUAUUGUGUAUUAUACUGUGAGUUUGUCCGUGUUGCUGUGAUUCGCUAUAGUUUGUUCAUUUUCAUUACAGAAUGUUAUUUUACUGUAUGGCUAUACCACAAUUUAUUUAUCUGUUAUACUAUGAAGGGGACAUGUGAGUUGUUUCCAGUUUUAGGCCAUUGUAAACAAUGCUGCUAUGAACAUUCUUCUACAUUGUUCGUAUGCACACAUCUUCCUUGCUUCCUUCCUCCUUUUCUUCCUGUUUAUUCUCAGGUGUAAUUGCUGGGUGUGCAUAUGUUUAACGUUAGUAGAUAAUGUCAAACAACACUGCUGUGUGGGGUUCCUGAAACAUCACAUCCUCUCCAGAAUUUGGUAUUGUUAGACUUUUACUUUCAGGUUUUUAAAUUCUAUUUUCACUGCACUGUUGAGGAUGUAAAUGCAUCUCGUGUAUCUUUUUUUAAAAAAUACAAACUUUUAUAUUAAAGAAUAAAAUACAUAGAAAAAAGUACAA
This is a long non-coding RNA of Equus caballus (horse), 1275 nucleotides long. NCBI's taxonomy places the organism in Eukaryota, Metazoa, Chordata, Mammalia, Perissodactyla, Equidae. The record is from Ensembl.